AACGCGAAGAACCUUACCAGGUCUUGACAUCCUUUGACAAUCCUAGAGAUAGGACUUUCCCUUCGGGGACAAAGUGACAGGUGGUGCAUGGUUGUCGUCAGCUCGUGUCGUGAGAUGUUGGGUUAAGUCCCGCAACGAGCGCAACCCCUGUGGUUAGUUGCCAUCAUUCAGUUGGGCACUCUAAGCAGACUGCCGUGGAUAACACGGAGGAAGGUGGGGACGACGUCAAAUCAUCAUGCCCCUUAUGACCUGGGCUACACACGUGCUACAAUGGCCACUACAGAGAGCAGCGAGUCCGUAAGGCGGAGCCAAUCUCAUAAAAGUGGUCCCAGUUCGGAUUGUGGGCUGCAACCCGCCCACAUGAAGUCGGAGUUGCUAGUAAUCGCGGAUCAGCAUGCCGCGGUG
This 405-nucleotide ribosomal RNA is filed under the name uncultured bacterium. Its description in RNAcentral is "bacterial SSU rRNA". It matches the Rfam family "Bacterial small subunit ribosomal RNA", at positions 958 to 1364 of the family's 1533-position model. The record is from RNAcentral.